AGGCUCCUUAGUUGGAACUGCUUUGAGGUGGGCACCAUCUUUUGACAAAUUGAGUGGAUCGAGGCUGAUAUUGAGGAGCUGCAGCUGAGGGAGGACCAGGGAGGUGGCUUACCUUAGCAUGAGUUGGGAGAGCUGUGAGAUAAGCUUUCUGAGUACCACUCUUUUCUAAGAUAGCAAGAGAUUUUAUGGAGGGAGAAAUCUAGAAUUCAGU
This 211-nucleotide long non-coding RNA is filed under the name Elaeis guineensis (African oil palm). RNAcentral's name for it is "long non-coding RNA (EGUI_LNC001275)". The record is from RNAcentral. Lineage: Eukaryota; Viridiplantae; Streptophyta; Magnoliopsida; Arecales; Arecaceae.